This 465-nucleotide ribosomal RNA is filed under the name uncultured Klebsiella sp. RNAcentral describes it as "bacterial SSU rRNA". It matches the Rfam family "Bacterial small subunit ribosomal RNA", at positions 338 to 795 of the family's 1533-position model. The record is from RNAcentral. Lineage: Bacteria; Pseudomonadati; Pseudomonadota; Gammaproteobacteria; Enterobacterales; Enterobacteriaceae.
CCUACGGGGGGCUGCAGUGGGGAAUAUUGCACAAUGGGCGCAAGCCUGAUGCAGCCAUGCCGCGUGUGUGAAGAAGGCCUUCGGGUUGUAAAGCACUUUCAGCGGGGAGGAAGGCGUUAAGGUUAAUAACCUUGGCGAUUGACGUUACCCGCAGAAGAAGCACCGGCUAACUCCGUGCCAGCAGCCGCGGUAAUACGGAGGGUGCAAGCGUUAAUCGGAAUUACUGGGCGUAAAGCGUACGCAGGCGGUCUGUCAAGUCGGAUGUGAAAUCCCCGGGCUCAACCUGGGAACUGCAUUCGAAACUGGCAGGCUAGAGUCUUGUAGAGGGGGGUAGAAUUCCAGGUGUAGCGGUGAAAUGCGUAGAGAUCUGGAGGAAUACCGGUGGCGAAGGCGGCCCCCUGGACAAAGACUGACGCUCAGGUGCGAAAGCGUGGGGAGCAAACAGGAUUAGAUACCCGUGUAGUC